GUGCCAGCCGCCGCGGUAAUACCGGCAGCCCAAGUGAUGGCCGCUGUUAUUGGGCCUAAAGCGUCCGUAGCUGGCUGCGCAAGUCCGUCGGGAAAUCCACUCGCCCAACGAGUGGGCGUCCGACGGAAACUGCAUAGCUUGGGACCGGAAGGCUCGAAGGGUACGUGCGGGGUAGGAGUGAAAUCCCAUAAUCCCGCACGGACCACCGAUGGCGAAAGCACUUCGAGAAAACGGAUCCGACAGUGGGGGACGAAAGCCAGGGUCUCCAACCGGAUUAGAUACACUAGUAGUCA
This 293-nucleotide ribosomal RNA is filed under the name uncultured bacterium. RNAcentral describes it as "partial 16S ribosomal RNA". It matches the Rfam family "Archaeal small subunit ribosomal RNA", at positions 455 to 747 of the family's 1478-position model. The record is from RNAcentral.